Molecule: ribosomal RNA, 255 nt
Filed under: uncultured bacterium
Lineage: Bacteria
Description: partial 16S ribosomal RNA
Rfam family: Bacterial small subunit ribosomal RNA
Source: RNAcentral
UACGUAGGGUGCGAGCGUUAAUCGGAAUUACUGGGCGUAAAGUGUGCGCAGGCGGCCGAGCAAGUCGAGUGUGAAAGCCCCCGAGCUUAACUUGGGAACUGCGCUCGAAACUACUUGGCUAGAGUGUGGCAGAGGGGAGGUGGAAUUCCACGUGUAGCGGUGAAAUGCGUAGAGAUGUGGAGGAACACCGAUGGCGAAGGCAGCCUCCUGGGCCAACACUGACGCUCAUGCACGAAAGCGUGGGGAGCAAACAGG